Molecule: ribosomal RNA, 426 nt
Filed under: uncultured Actinomycetes bacterium
Lineage: Bacteria; Bacillati; Actinomycetota; Actinomycetes
Description: bacterial SSU rRNA
Rfam family: Bacterial small subunit ribosomal RNA
Source: RNAcentral
GCGGCCUAUCAGCUUGUUGGUGAGGUAAUGGCUCACCAAGGCAACGACGGGUUGCCGGCCUGAGAGGGCGACCGGCCACACUGGGACUGAGACACGGCCCAGACUCCUACGGGAGGCAGCAGUGGGGAAUAUUGGGCAAUGGACGCAAGUCUGACCCAGCGACGCCGCGUGCGGGAUGAAGGCCUUCGGGUUGUAAACCGCUUUCAGCAGGGAAGAAGCGAAAGUGACGGUACCUGCAAAAGAAGCACCGGCUAACUAUGUGCCGGCAGCCGCGGUAAUACAUAGGGUGCAAGCGUUGUCCGGAAUUAUUGGGCGUAAAGAGUUCGUAGGUGGUUCGUUACGUCGGAUGUGAAAAUCUGGGGCUCAACCCCAGACCUGCAUUCGAUACGGGCGAGCUAGAGUUUGGUAGGGGAGACUGGAAUUCCU